AUUGAACGCUGGCGGCAUGCCUUACACAUGCAAAUCGAACGGUAACGGGCCUUCGGGUGCCGACGAGUGGCGAACGGGUGAGUAAUACAUCGGAACGUGCCCGAUCGUGGGGGAUAACGAGGCGAAAGCUUUGCUAAUACCGCAUACGAUCUACGGAUGAAAGCAGGGGACCGCAAGGCCUUGCGCGGACGGAGCGGCCGAUGGCAGAUUAGGUAGUUGGUGGGAUAAAAGCUUACCAAGCCGACGAUCUGUAGCUGGUCUGAGAGGAUGAUCAGCCACACUGGGACUGAGACACGGCCCAGACUCCUACGGGAGGCAGCAGUGGGGAAUUUUGGACAAUGGGCGCAAGCCUGAUCCAGCCAUGCCGCGUGCAGGAUGAAGGCCUUCGGGUUAUAAACUGAUUUUGUACGGAACGAAAAGCCUUCUUUUAAUACAGGAGGGUCAUGACGGUACCGUAAGAAUAAGCACCGGCUAACUACGUG
Molecule: ribosomal RNA, 482 nt
Filed under: uncultured bacterium
Lineage: Bacteria
Description: partial 16S ribosomal RNA
Rfam family: Bacterial small subunit ribosomal RNA
Source: RNAcentral